Molecule: non-coding RNA, 5304 nt
Organism: Heterocephalus glaber (naked mole-rat)
Lineage: Eukaryota; Metazoa; Chordata; Mammalia; Rodentia; Bathyergidae
Source: RefSeq, a predicted model, not a curated record
AGAAAGAUUUGGAAAAUAAAAUUUUCAAUGUAUGACAAAAGGAAUACCAGCAUCCAUAAAUAGACUAAAUGAAGUCCCAUUUCUUUGAAAACCAAGUUCUCUGCAAAUUACAUCUUAAUUUUUCCAGAAAGCUUCACUGAGAUCCAUUUGUCAGCCACAGAUAUGUGCAUGUGUUAGCCCAUUGUUGCAGGUGGUUCAUUAGCUUAUAGGUGGUGACAUUAUGAUCCUAACUUCAUUUGUGGGUGGUACAAGUAGAAGCUUGACAUAACUUUGUCAUUGUUCCUUUGUAUGUUUGUCCUCUUUAUGACACUCAAUGAAACUUUGUGUCCCAGGAAUGAAUCAACUGGUCUGAUAAAAAUUAUGCUUUCAAGUUGACUCCAUUUUAGAGGCACCUAGCAGCAUAGAGGAAUUAAUUUUGGAUUCGGUUGCCCCACCUCAUGGUCAUCACCCUAUGACCAAAAGGCCCCGUGUGAGCAGCUCUUGUAGAACAUGCUGGUUGCAGGUUCCCACUAGCGUGUCUAGGCCAAGUGGAAUUACUUGAUCAGUGAUCCUGAGCUUCCCAUUGCUCAGAGAAGAGCAUCAAGAAAAGUAGAAGAAAGAAGUUAAAUCCCUGAAGCAUUUAGUAAUGUUCUUUAUAGGGGUAAAAGAUGAGGGGAGUUGAGGUUUUAUGAAGUGCCUUUGUUCAUUUAUCAGGGCUGAUUUAUCCUUUCGACACACUAGGCAUAGUGACAAGGGCCCAAAUACUUUCAGCAGCCCACAAAAAAAUUUUUGAUCAUUUUUAAACUUAGAGGAAAAAAAUGAAUAUAGUAUUUAUAUUGUAUUGUAACAUUAUAUUGUAUGUUAUAAUGAACCCAACCUGGAUUAUAGUCAUCUUUAUUGUUGUUACACAUAAUUCUAGUAUUUUUAAUGGAGAAAGGGACUCACAAAGACAAAAGUGCCCAAGGCUCAUGAAAGCCGUAAUAAAGCUCUCAUCUUAGGUAUCUGAUGUUUGUCUGAACCUUUGACAUUUUCCUUCCAUUAAGUAUAAAGACAAGCUAUAGCAUCCAUUCUCUAUUUAUGGAUGUGUUCUAUGUGAAACUAAAUCAGUAGGUGUCACAAAAGAGGUGUUCUUAAAAGAAAACAUGGAUUUGUACUCUGAAGCUCUUUAUAAUCAAAGAGAGGAGGGGAAAAAAAUCAACUCUUAACAACAGGUGCUUUGCAGUUGUUCAUUCAUUUGGACAUUUCUUUAAUGAGUUAAUUACUCAUAACUCCCUUGUGAACAAUCUGCACAUCUGGGAAAAUAAAGCUGCCCACUGAAAGUGAAUUACUAGAGCGUAGGUGAAACACAAUAGUUAAUUCAUUUGGAUACCCUUAAAAGGCUGAACAAAAAUCCCUGAAGCACUUAGAAGUUGGGCUUCAUGUCUGAAGAAUGAGGUGGCAUCGGCUGCAAACUGCAACCUGGGAAUUCAUGGCCUGAGUUCAGCAGCCAGUUCCCAGUACUUCCUUGGGUCACCCACUCUCUGAUUUACAUAGCCACCACCUCUCCCAGAGCUCUCCACUGGUCCAAUAGCUUUGGCCUCAUCUGCAAAAUACUCUUCACUUGUUACAUGUGUAAAGAUUUUCUUUUCAAUUUCAAUUUGUUUGUGAAACCCAACCACACCAAGCCUCUGUUUGGCAAAACAAAUCCCAAGCUUAAUUUAUUAGUAUCAUCCAUGUAUUCAGACUAUAAAUACACCAGAAGAGUUUAUCAAGUCCUGAGACCUUUUGGAAAUGAAGUUGCAUCUGCUCAGUUGAAGGGUUGGAUGGUAUGAUCUCUGAAAUUCUCUCCAGCUGAAUGGCACUGGGACCAGGCCCAAGGCCAGCCCACUCUGACCUGGUGUACAGCUCCUGUAGCAACCCUUCAAAUGGAUGAUAAAGUACUACACAGAGCAGUGAUCUUCAACAACAAUCCAUUGAGAGUAGAUUAUAGCUGAAGCAGGAAAGCGCAAGGACCAGAGUUCGAUCCCUAGUGCCAGACAAAAAAUAACUGAAGCAGGAAAAGAUUUCAAGGCUUGAAUCUUUUCUUGGAGUUACAAUUAUUUUGAGGGAAAAAAAGUGUCAUCUGGAUCUUCAAACAUGAGUUCUCAUCACUAGGAACCAGAAACAUCACACAUGAACCAGAGCCACAGAGCCUUACAGUGAGAAGGAACUUCAAUUAAAACUGUGGAUUUUUUUUUUUUAAAAAGCCACCAUGUCCAGAAAGAUAAAAGUGUUGGAAAUGUGGAGGUUGUCCCAAAAUACAUCACCUUCUAGUCCCUAGUCUGGCCUUUGACUAUCACCAGAUAGAUAAUAAAGCUACUGGAGUCUGGCUCCUGCCCACUUCGGGGCAAAUAUGUGAGGACCUUUCCUAUGGGCUGCAUGUGUUUCUGAGUUAAUGUAUUUCCAGUUCACUGUAGAAAGGAGCAACAUACUUCCUACUUUUUCCUGAAAAAUAUUAACAUACACUCUUCCCACACUGAGUAACAAUGUAAGAAGUCCAGCCUGUUUAACCACUGUAUAAGCUAUGUACUGUAAGUGGAGAAGAAAGGAUGACAGCAUAUCCCCAGCAGAGACGUGCCUGAACAGCAUUCCCAGGAAUUCUUCAGCCACAGGAAAAACAAGCAGCCCUCAGUCCUGCGCAGGGUGCAAAUUAGCUUCCGCUGACAACAGGCUCUGUGCACCUUUCUGAGCCGAAGUCCUCUCCAUGCCAAAGUCAACAGUGUGCUCUCUAAUAACACUGAAGCUGUCCUUCAGACCCUCUCAGUCACGGCCCUCGAGAGUCAUCAAGAAACUGUUUAAAUUUCUGGGACAAUUUUCAACCACCAUAAAGAAGUUGGUAGCCCUGGAUAAACCCAAAAGCACCUUCAUAGGGCAGGGGGAGAUUCUUUUGUGGGUCCUUAUUGUUAAGUGGGAUUGCUGGUUUGUGUUACUCCAACAAUGAUCUCUUGCUAUGUGAAAAUCUAGAAUUUAGAUCAUGUAAUAUUUAUGACAGAUAAAUGAAAUAGUAGUUUUUCUAAUUAUUAGAGAAUACCUCAUCAAUAACUUCUCAAUUUUCGGGGCUACUGAACACUUCUUAAAUGAUGAAUGCACAAAAGGAAUAAAGUUAUUGUGGUUGAGGCUGCUAGCUGCUAACUCAAGUCCAUGUUCUCAUUUUCCUCAUGGACACGUAGCUAACCACUUGCAAUUAGGACUCCCGCAAAUCAAAAUCUGUAUAUUCUGGUAUUCCUACUUGAUCUGGGGCCUUUGGGGGAGGGUCUCUCUCCCCUUCUUUGUCCUUUAAGUAAUUGUUUUUAAAAAUCUAUCUGUGGGUAUAGAAAGUUAUUUACAGCUUAAAGAGUUGUAAAGCAAACACUAAUAACCACCAUCCAGGUCUGAAAAUAGAAAUGUGUACCCCAGGCCUGACUUGUAGAGUUCUCAUUUGCUUAAUUUUCUUCAUAGUGUCACCCUCCUUGUAUGCACCUCGGAAUGAUAUGCUCUGCCUCUUCCCUUUUGUUUUUACUUUAUAUAAAUGGAAUCCCACUGUAUGUAUUCUUUUGUCUUGCUUCUUUGGUCCUAUGUAAGAUCCAUCCAUGUUGUUCUGUCUAGCUCUAGCUCAUUUGUUUUAAUUACUGAAGAACAUUUAUUGAAUGACCGCUGCUCUUUCUGCGUUCCUUCUCCCACUGAUGAACCUCUGGAACAUUUCCAGUUUGGGGCUGCUCGGCACGUUCUGGUUACGUGUCUCUGAGUGCACAGUAUGAGCAUUUCUUUGAGGAACAUACUUAAGAGUAGCAUUUCUGGGUCAUAGGGUUUGAAAAACAUCUGGGUUUAUCAGUGACGCCAGACUCUUUUUCAGUAUUUUUUUUUUUAACCAAUUUAUACUCCCACUAGCAGUAUAGGGAGCAUCCUGUUACUUCAUAUCCUCACUAGAACUUGGUAUUGUCAGACUUUAAUUUUUGCCAAUCACAUGGGUGUAUAAUGGUAUCUCUAUUGUUUUAACUCAUAUUUUCUUUAUUAUUAAUGAGGUUGGACAUCUUUUCAUGUUUAUUGGAAAUUUAAAUUCCUUCUUUGGUGAUGUGGCUGUUCUAGUCUUUCACUUAUUUUUUAAUUAACUGCUCAUUUUUGAUUAGUAGGAGUUAUUUUUAUUGGUUAGAAUCUAUAUAUUCUGGACCAGUGUUCUUUACAUAAGUUGUACAUAUUUUCCACUCUGUGACUUGUGUUUUUACUCUUUAUGGUGCCUUUUGAUGAUGAGAAAUUCUUUCUUUAUUUGAAUGUAUUUGAAUUAUCAAACUUUUCUUUUAUGACCUUUUUAAUAUUUUGUUUAAUCCACCUGGAAUGGAUUUUUGUGUAUGGUACAAGGAAGAAAUUUCUCCUUAAAACAGAAGCAUAAAAGUUAGUAUUAUUAAUAAAAGAGGUACUUUUAAAGCAAAUGUUUUGUAUUUUCCAGAUCUGAAACCUUUAUUACCAAUAUGAAGCCUGCUUUUGAUAAGAGGCACAUAGAUCUUCAUGCACCUUGUUUAGGAAUAACAAAGUAUCCAGGUGUUAAUUCCCUUGGAAAGUAAGAAGAUAAAAGUGCAUAUGCUCCAUGUUGGGAAUGUUGCCAAGGGUAGCCUAUAUAAGGACAGGAAUACACACAUGUGCACACACUACACAUGUCAUUAUAGAUUUAUGGGCCCUUUCUGGAAAGAUACAUAAGAAGAAGUUAUAGUAGCUACCUGUGAGGAAUAUAAUAUGUAAAAGUUCUGCCUCAAGGAAAAUAACAAUGUUUAAGGUAAGUUACCCUAGUACCUUAGUAGGAAAAUUGAGUCAGAUGUGCCAAAAUUUAUUUACAUAUGUUCUUUCAGGAAUUCAUCUAUCAAACAGAAGUGUUGAUUUUCAAUUAUUUUACAUACCCCUUUUCACACACACAAAAAUACUGGCUAUUUAAGGAGUAUAGGAAUUAUUGCAACCUAUAUCUCUAUAGCAGGCAAUUUGAAUCAUUGGAAGCUCUAAAAGGUUCGCCUUCACUGCUGUAUAGAAUUAUGGGUAUUCAAACUUUGUGGGAGACCAGGGGAGACCUGAGGCCUAAUUGGCCCCCUCUGUGAGUACAAAGAAGAAAGGCUGCACUCAGGGGCAAAUGCAUACUGUCAGUUCUAGGGAAAAGUGAAGACAGCUAAUACUAAGUUGUUUACCAGAGCAUGUAUAAUGGAUAUUGCAUAGCAAAUGAAUCCUGUGUUACUUUGAUUGCUUGUACCUGUGUUUGGGUGAAUAAAGGCAAGAUGAGCCAGGCACUGGGGGCUCCUCUGCCUAGUAAGAGGCAAGAGCCCCCUGGCUGCCCACUUGUUGAACUGA